AGGUCACAAGAUUGCGCCAACCCUUACAUGGUCCUUAAAAAAAAAACCUUCUGACACUGCAGUAGUGAAAAUGAAGCGCACGAUGGGCGGAAGCUGUGAGUCCGGCAAAGUUUUAAAAUGAUGACGUAUUUUAUUAACUCUAACGGCACUGGCGGGUGACUGAAAAUACUAGUGCUGUGUAUGCGGGAUAGACAUUAUUUUCCUGCCCUACAUGAGGGGCUCGUGCGCGGAACGACAUGGGCAGCCCCGGCGGAAACUGCAGGCACAAGCCGGGACGCCGCGGGUUUAAAACAUGCGCGUGAGGUGACCAGAGCGCGUGCGCGAGGGUGUGGGGGGAUGGGAGGGGCAGCAGCCCUCUUCCGGGGGGGAGGGGCGGCGAGGCGAGGCCUGCGGAGCGGGUGCGCGCGGGCGGGCACGUGGGGCCCUUUCGUCCCCGGCGUCCGGGCGCCCUGCAUGGAUCCCCCACCCCAGCUCCUGCUCCCCGGCGGCGGCCGGUGGGCAGAAAGACCGAAACCCACUCACGGCCGCCUGCCGAAUCGCGGCUCUGCUGUUUGUGGGGCGUGCUAGAAACGUGGUCCUAAAAAGAAUGGCGUCCAUUUACAUAAUGCUUUGUUUGCGUUUCGCAAGUUUCUUUCGGUUAAAGCCACAGAAACCCCACCUCCUGCCCUUGUGUCGUUUCCACCGCGGCACCCUUUUCCGACAUUAGAAACAAUAGUGUACGCCUGUGGAGGCCUCGUUUGUUCAGGGGCUGCCGGCCAGGGCUUCAGGACGUUUCUGCGGCUUUCCCCGCGCGGCCUGGGCUCCCGCGGCUGCUUUUCGGGCCCAUGGGCGCAGCCACUGCGCCAGGCUCAAGGGGGGCGGCCCCGUCAGGGCCCGCCAUCUUGGAAGGCCUUUUUUGCCGGUUCUUCCCGCUGAGGAAGUGUCGCUCAAGACGCUGGCCUAUGAGUUGUGAUUUCUGCCUUUUCCCCUUCCUCCUUGGGCUAAGCCAGACCAGAAAGGGCCCCGUGCGCAACGUGCUUCACAAUCUCUCAGGGAAAGCGGCUAACGUGGCGCUACUCCGCCUCCCCUGUUCCUUACCCUUGGGGCGGCCGCCAUGUUUCCUGAACACAAAAUGGCGACACGUGGUUAGCAUUCGUCGCCAACGAGAAAUUGGGGUCGGCCCGAAAGCUCUAGAAUGCACCCCUCUUCCUCCCCGGGGCCUUCCACCUCCGCGAGUUUUAUGACUUAAAAAAGCCCACAGGCUGGUCUGAAGGUCGGAGGCCUAAUUUUAACGCGUUUUCCUCCCUUUAAUUUGAAACGGGAACGCGAAUGACUGUAAAAUGUGGGCACAAUAUUUAAUCUCUCGCCUUUUUAAAGCUUAAUAGUGGAUAAUAGGGGGGCAGUAUCAAGGGAUAAUUUGGGUCCCCACAGUACCAAAGCAUUUAGAAACCUCUGUUUAAUUUAAGGAAUGAGAUAAGUUACUGCUUUUCUAGACUUCCUAGCAUGGGCUGUUGUGCUGGAGAGAACGAGAGCUACGAAGAGACUACAGUGCCUCUGACUUUUUCAUAGGACAGUUGGCCGAGGAAGACAAACAUAAAGAUGAAGUGCUUAAUUCAAGGUCACACAAUGUCGGGGAUGGACCUCCAGAUUUCCUUACUGGUGAGACGUGGUCUUGUAACACAGUGGUUAAGAAUGUGACUUUGGAGCCAGCCUGCUAGGGGCUGAAUUCUGACUCAGCCAUUUACUAACUGUGUGACCUUAGGCUGGAGUGCAAUGGCAUGAUCUCGGCUCAUCACAACCUCUGCUUCCUGGGUUCAAGCGAUUCUCCUGCCUCAGCCUCCCGAGUACCUGGGACUACAGGCACUCGCCACCAUGCCCGGCUGAUUUUUGUAUUUUUAAUAGAGAUGGUUUCACUAUGUUGGCCAGGCUGGUCUCGAACUCCUGACCUUGUGAUCUGCCCACCUCAGCCUCGAAAAGUGCUGGGAUUACAGGCGUGAGCCACUGCGCCCAGCCUUGUAUUUUUUUUCAGUUUGGGUAGCUGUCCCUAAUUCAUUUGUUAAAGGAGAAGCAAGAGCAAGAACCUUUAAUCUGUUCUCCUCUUCCCUAAUUUGAAAGUAGCUUGUUAUUUUGAAUAUCACUUUCUCUGAAAUAGCACAUCUCCAUCUCAGAGAAUGGAUUUAAUGUUUGGAUACAGCCAAAAGUCAUUUCAUUACCAAACCAUGGGGUGAAUAUACCAUGUAAAGCAGUUUGGGAUCAGAACUCACAGUCUGAAUUGUAAGUGAUGAGACUGCUGUCUCUCUGCUACAGCUUCUUGGCUGGCUCUGAAGGCUCUUUGAAGGCAGAUCCUAACAAGGGGACUGCUUUGAAGGGCCAUUGUUCAUUUGGAAUGAUAAAGUCUAUGUUGUUCAAAAAACAAAUGCUUGUAGCAGGUAUUUUUUCACUCCAGACUGAGAAUAUUGGUGGGAUAUUGAUAAGGGGUACUGAAUGGUAAUAAACAUGUGCUCUAGCUCUGUGCUAGUCAGCUUAUUUCAGAACUCUAGUUUGAUUCAGUUUCUUGCCUCUGACUCAAAAUGGAGGGAGAGUGAUUUUUACAUAAGAGAACACACCCACAUAUCCUUUUGGCAGCAGCUACCUGCCAGAGAUGUUGAAGAAGAGUAGCCAACCUUUACACAGCAGAUAUUGUGUGCCAGUCAUAGUCCUAAGUAUAAUACCUUACAUGUAUAAACUUCUUAUAAGGUUGGUGCUCUGUACCGAAUUGAAUAGUAUCCCCCAAAAUUCAUGUUGUCCCAGAACCUAUGAAAGUGAUCUUACUUGAGGGAGGGGGGAGGGGGGAGGGAUAGCAUUAGGAGAUAUACCUAAUGCUAAAUGACGAGUUAAUGGGUGUAGCACACCAGCAUGGCACAUGUAUACAUAUGUAACUAACCUGCACAUUGUGCACAUGUACCCUAAAACUUAAAGUAUAAUAAUAAUAAAAUAAAAAAAAAAAAGAAAGUGAUCUUACUUGGAAAUAAGGUCUUUGCACAUAUGAUCAAGUUGAGAUGAAGUUGUACUGGAAAGUCUGUCUAGUGACUGGUGUUGUCAUAAGAAGAGAGGGACACAGAGGGAAGAUGGCCACAUGAAGAUGGAGGCAGAGAUUGCAGUUAUGCUGCUGCAAACUAAGGAAUGGCUCUGGCCCUCCAAGGAUUGCUGAUAACCACCAGAAACUAGAAGAGACAAGGAAGGAUUCUUCCCUAGAGCCUUCAGAGGGAGCAUGGCCCUACUGACACCUGGAUUUCAAACUUGUAGCUUCCUAAACUGCAAGAGAAUAAAUUUCUGUUGUUUUAAGCCAUAUAGUUUGUGGUAAUUUGUUAUGGCAGUCCUAGGUAAU
Molecule: long non-coding RNA, 3346 nt
Filed under: Homo sapiens (human)
Lineage: Eukaryota; Metazoa; Chordata; Mammalia; Primates; Hominidae
Description: non-protein coding PCBP1-AS1:228
Source: RNAcentral